Quercus lobata is the source of this 628-nucleotide long non-coding RNA. RefSeq lists it as uncharacterized. The record is from RefSeq and is a predicted model, not a curated record. NCBI's taxonomy places the organism in Eukaryota, Viridiplantae, Streptophyta, Magnoliopsida, Fagales, Fagaceae. The transcript is spliced from 3 exons.
CUCUCUCGCCGUCUCGCGUUCUCUCUCUCUACUUCUCUGCUGCGUUCUUUUAAUUCUGCUCCUUCUCAUCGUUCUUGGCCGAUCUUCACCUCGUCUUCAUACAAAUCUCAGGCAGAUUCGAAUUGCAAAUCAAGCCACUUGCUUCGAUUUUUCCCCAAUGGAAACCCAUGUGAAAAUUUCCCAUUGAAGAAAAACAAAGAAGAGAGGUUAGAAAUCAACAUGAACAGAGACAGUUCUCUUAAAGCAACUUCAAAAUUUUCUGAGCAAAGUCAAUUUCCUGUUAUAAAUGGUAAAGGUAAUGGUCAAUUGAUGUAUAAAAAGAAAGGGUCGAAGAAGACACAACAUGAUUCAAGUGUUAAAAAUGGCAAGCCAUCAAGUGUGUUUAAGAGGAGAGUAUUUUGCUUCUCCAAAUCCUUUCCUGAGAAUAGGCAUUUGCACCCAUGAAUGGAGGAACUGCUUCUGAGUUACCUGAUACAAACUCCUGGAAGCAACCAUUUGAUGCUCAGAGAUACUUUUCACAUAGUGAAAGUGACUGACAGGACUGUGUAUACCUUUUUUUUUUUUUUUGAGAAUAGGACUAUGUAUACCUAAAUAAAGAAAAGGAGCAAGUUGAGACAAUUUUCCCUCA